RNAcentral lists this ribosomal RNA (253 nucleotides) under uncultured bacterium. RNAcentral's name for it is "partial 16S ribosomal RNA". It matches the Rfam family "Bacterial small subunit ribosomal RNA", at positions 524 to 776 of the family's 1533-position model. The record is from RNAcentral.
UACGGGGGGGGCAAGCGUUGUUCGGAAUUACUGGGCGUAAAGGGCGCGUAGGCGGCCUGCUAAGUCGGAUGUGAAAUCCCUCGGCUCAACCGAGGAACUGCAUCCGAUACUGGCUCGCUAGAGUGCGGUAGAGGAGAGUGGAAUUCCCGGUGUAGCAGUGAAAUGCGUAGAGAUCGGGAGGAACAUCAGUUGCGAAGGCGGCUCUCUGGACCAGCACUGACACUGAGGCACGAAAGCGUGGGGAGCAAACAGG